This 794-nucleotide long non-coding RNA is filed under the name Homo sapiens (human). RNAcentral's name for it is "HSALNT0065986". The record is from RNAcentral. Lineage: Eukaryota; Metazoa; Chordata; Mammalia; Primates; Hominidae.
AAGAGGUGGCGCCUUUCAGAGUCACAAUCAUAGCAAUGCAACUGUAGAACUGACAGAGUGAAGGAGCCAAUCUACCAGAAGUGAUGCAGUAAACUAGAAAAUGAGGACACAGAGGCAGAUGAGCCCCCAGCACUGCCUGGAGGAAGAGAGGCAGAGGAUGGGAGAUACCAGUACUCUGGGUUGUUCCUGUGGUAAGUUCCUCCAGCAUAAAAACAAGACAAAGUUUCUGCAGAGCUGCUCUAACCCAAUAAUAAAAUUGGACAAUAAGCUGCAUAUCUGCCGGAAACCUGGGACUGGCAAUGGAGAUGAGAAGAGAAUCAGAAGGCUGAAAUGAAGCCACAAUGUUGACAGCAAGUGGAGUCUGGCAACCCCAAGUUUCCAAAGUGCACAUCUGCGCUGGGGCCUGGAGAUUUCUGGAAGGGAAUCAGUCUGUGUCCUUUUUGCAGGUCUGUGUCCUUGUACGUAUUUGCAUCUACUAAUUUACAUAUUAAACUUAUAAAAUUGUCAUUAAAUCUACUCCUACCAUAUAAUAUUCAAUAGCUUCAUAAUAUCCAUUAUAGAGCCGCACAAAAAUUUAUUUAAGCAAUAUAUAUUGCUUGGCAUUAUCACUGUUUAUUUGACUUAUUGAAGUAAACCACACCGAGAUGUUGUAGAUAGGUUCUUGUACAUUUUCCUGAUGAAAAAUUUCUAAGAGUAAAAUCUAUGGGUCACAGCAAUCACGUUACUGGGUAUAUAUUCAGAAGACUGUAAAUCAUUUUACCAUAAAGAAACAUGCAUAUGAAUGUUCAUUGCAG